AAGCACACACACACACACACACACACACACACACACACACACACACACACACACACACACACACACACACACACACACACACACACACACACACACACACACACACACACACAUCGAUCGCCCUCCAGUUUCAACCUCACUCUGUCCGACUGUCAUACACAAAAUGUAGACGUGCUCUCUCACACACACACACACACACACACACAGACCGAAGUCCUGGCCAGUCAGAGCGACUGUCUCCCCCUUUUUAACCUAUUUAUUUGACACGCUCAACACACACACUCACACCCUCCUAACAUGCGCACACACAAAAACACACACACACUGGACGAGGUCGCAUUUUGAAGAGGUCGGCCGAAGAGGAAGAGGGGAAACUCACAUAUCUGUUACUGCUGGGGAGACAGACUUGUAUUUAUUUCCACAGCUUUCAUAUGCACUUGCCCUCCUCGCCUUUCAUUCUUUCUUCCUCGCGUGGGGAAGAGACACACCAGCUGAUGUUCUCCGUCACUGUGAUUGGCUGAUUCAAAGCUGCUUCGGUAAACUGUGCCCCACUGCUCUUCAUCUGCACCCUGCCACCCUCCUCCUCAGUUCUCUCUCCUUCCCUAAUUUGCUUUGGCUCUCUUAACUUAGUUUCUUCAAAGUGAAGUUAAGGUUUGUGUGUGAGAGUGUCGCCGUGAUGAUAUUGACUGAAGGUCAUAGUGCGACUGUUUCCUCUCUUCAAAAUGAAAAGGCGUGAUUCUGCUUGUGGCGGAUUCAGAGUCCCCUCAGGAACAAUGUCAUCCGCCUGCACUUUCAGUAACAUAAAUGCACAUGAAGACACAACUUGUAUUCCUUUUCCCUUAAAAAAAUCCACCUUCUAACUCAUGUUACUUUGUGAUGCUAACAGUGUAUCAACAGAGGUCGAAUAAGCUGGCGACGGACUAACGAUAAGUUCUAGAAUUUGAAGGUAUAUAUAAUAUAUAUACGUACAAACAUAUGAUGAAGAUGAAGAGCAUGUGGGGGAGCUGUAGGGAUUUUCUCUGGGGGGGGCGGGACGUACCCCGUCGAACCAGAGAGGCUGAAUAAAAAAAAUGCAAAAAAGAUGAAAAAAAGAUUUCCAUGGAUAUCUCUUCAAAAAGACAUUGUGGAAACUGUAUGAUAUUGUAUUUAUUUCAUUUGAUUUUUAAGAUUCUAUUUUUCUUUCAAGUUCUGUAUAUAUUGACAUUAAAGAUCAUUAUUGACAUGC
This is a long non-coding RNA of Scophthalmus maximus (turbot), 1225 nucleotides long. RefSeq lists it as uncharacterized. NCBI's taxonomy places the organism in Eukaryota, Metazoa, Chordata, Actinopteri, Pleuronectiformes, Scophthalmidae. The record is from RefSeq and is a predicted model, not a curated record. The transcript is spliced from 2 exons.